This 483-nucleotide ribosomal RNA is filed under the name uncultured bacterium. RNAcentral's name for it is "partial 16S ribosomal RNA". It matches the Rfam family "Bacterial small subunit ribosomal RNA", at positions 30 to 506 of the family's 1533-position model. The record is from RNAcentral.
AUUGAACGCUGGCGGCAGGCCUAACACAUGCAAGUCGAGCGGAUGAAGGGAGCUUGCUCCUGGAUUCAGCGGCGGACGGGUGAGUAAUGCCUAGGAAUCUGCCUGGUAGUGGGGGAUAACGUCCGGAAACGGGCGCUAAUACCGCAUACGUCCUGAGGGAGAAAGUGGGGGAUCUUCGGACCUCACGCUAUCAGAUGAGCCUAGGUCGGAUUAGCUAGUUGGUGGGGUAAAGGCCUACCAAGGCGACGAUCCGUAACUGGUCUGAGAGGAUGAUCAGUCACACUGGAACUGGGACACGUUCCAGCCCCCUAGGGGGGGCAGCGGGGGGGAAUAUUGGACAAGGGGCGAAAGCCUGAUCCAGCCAUGCCGGGGGUGUGAAGAAGGCCUUCGGUUUGUAAAGCCCUUUAAGUUGGGGGGAAGGGCAGUAAGUUAAAACCUUGCUUUUUUGACUUUACCAACAGAAUAAGCCCCGGCUAACUUCGU